GUGAGGAAUAUUGCGCAAUGGAGGCAACUCUGACGCAGCCAUGCCGCGUGCAGGAAGAAGGCGCUACGCGUUGUAAACUGCUUUUAACCGGGAAGAAACCCCAGGACGUGUCCUGGGUUGACGGUACCGGAGGAAUAAGCACCGGCUAACUUCGUGCCAGCAGCCGCGGUAAUACGAAGGGUGCAAGCGUUAUCCGGAUUCAUUGGGUUUAAAGGGUGCGUAGGCGGAGCGUUAAGUCAGUGGUGAAAUCCUGCAGCUUAACUGUAGACUUGCCAUUGAUACUGGCGCUCUUGAGUGUGCUUGAAGUGGGCGGAAUGUGCCGUGUAGCGGUGAAAUGCUUAGAUAUGGCACAGAACACCAAUUGCGAAGGCAGCUCACUAAGGCGAUACUGACGCUGAGGCACGAAAGCGUGGGGAUCGAACAGGAUUAGAAACCCCGGUAGUCC
Molecule: ribosomal RNA, 445 nt
Filed under: uncultured bacterium
Lineage: Bacteria
Description: bacterial SSU rRNA
Rfam family: Bacterial small subunit ribosomal RNA
Source: RNAcentral